Molecule: ribosomal RNA, 375 nt
Filed under: uncultured organism
Description: bacterial SSU rRNA
Rfam family: Archaeal small subunit ribosomal RNA
Source: RNAcentral
CCCGCAGCACAAGUGGUGGUCAUUAUUAUUGGGCCUAAAGCGUCCGUAGCUGGCCUGUUAGAUGCCUGGGUAAAUCGAUGCGCUCAACGUAUCGAACUCCGGGUAGACCGGCAGGCUUGGGACCGGGAGAGAUGUGAGCUACUCGAGGGGUAGGGGUAAAAUCCUGUAAUCCUUCGGGGAGGACCAGUGGCGAAGGCGUCACAUUAGAACGGCUCCGACAGUGAGGGACGAAGCCCUGGGGCGCAAACCGGAUUAGAUACCCGGGUAGUCCAGGGUGUAAACGCUGCAGACUUGGUGUCGGUGAUCCUACGAGGGUUGCCGGUGCCGUAGAGAAGUUGUUUAGUCUGCCGCCUGGGGAGUACGGUCGCAAGACUG